RNAcentral lists this ribosomal RNA (120 nucleotides) under uncultured fungus. RNAcentral's name for it is "partial 28S ribosomal RNA". Lineage: Eukaryota; Fungi. The record is from RNAcentral.
AUGUAGCUUCUUUCGGGGAGUGUUAUAGCCCAGGGUGCAAUGCAGCCUGUUGGGACCGAGGACCGCGCUUCGGCUAGGAUGCUGGCGUAAUGGUUGUAAGCGACCCGUCUUGAAACACGG